UUCAUUGGCAGGCUAAGCGUUUGAGAGUUUUGGGUAUGAAAGGCCCAUCUUUGUUUGGCAUCUGAAAAACUUCCCCUACACUCUCUUCACUUCAAAAUCAAGUUUUACUCCUCUCAUCUUCAUCUACUUGAUUAUUACACGGAAGUUCAAUUUUCUUCCUUUUUUUUUCUUUAAUUGUAUCAUGCUAGCAAUUAUUUGGUCAAGAUGUUGGUGGAUCAUAACUUGAAUAAUGAAGAUGGAUAAUUGAAGUCAUAUAGAUUUAGGGUUUUAGAGAUGGAUUAAAUUUAUGUUGGGAUUUCAAGUUACAAUUUUGAUAUAUGAUCGAGAUUUUAGAAGGUAUAUGGUUUCAUAAGCGACAUUUGCUUGAGUCUGUACAGCCCGAUGCUAGGCCACAUGUGGUCAGUGGUUGGAAUUAGUGGAUACCGGUCUCCUGAUAAAUUCAGGUUCGCCUGAAGCUUGCAACCCAUCGUCAUCUCUUGGAAUGAGGUUGUGAGAAAAAAUACGAGGUCGCUUACGUUUACAUAUCAUGCAUAUUUCUGUGGUAUGCUGUCCAGUUAACAUUUGAUGAUGUGUUUUUCCCCCCGAUUUGGUUGUUUUAUGGUCGAACUUAUUUACAAGACUCCGGUUUCUAUGUUGUUGCAAAUGAUCAAACGCUUAAAGUUAUAUGACUGCCUAAACUGUUUUUUGGCCAUAAUGUUAUAUAUGGCAGACGUUAUUGGUUAUGUGUCUGUCUUGAAGAAUUUUGUCGUGAAUAGCCAAAGUUCAACGACUCUUGGUUAAUCUGGCCAACCACAGGUAUGAAUUCAUGGAUAUGACUUCCUCACCCUACUGGUUACAUUUAGAUGCGAGUGGUUGUGCACGGGGGUCAUGAGGUGUGGCUCAAGUUAUGAGGAAAGUUAGGCGAGGACCUGAUUGAGAAGAUUGGUGAAAGGUCUGCUGUUAUAGUUUCAUCUUGACUUCAAUAAAUUCCAAAUAAGCAAAUACUAUCUUGCUAAAAAUUGGAAUGUGUGGCGACAUCUUUUCAACUGUGUGACCCGCGGCAUGAUCAGUUUUACCCUGUUUGACUUUCAAACCAAAUUUGUCUAUCAGGCUCAUCAUGACACUCAGUUUUGAUGAGGAUGUCGUUCCUGCAUUGAAUGAAUUCAAAGUCGAUAUCAGUAAGCAUCUUUGAACCCUUACUUAAUGAAAAAUACAACAUAUUCAGUUGCAUACCGAUUAUCAUGCCUUUUGGAUUGUGGUGAUGUUGGUCUGAGUGAAUCCUCUAUGCCAAUUAUACAUACAGAAGCAAAGCUAGGUAAAAUUGUUGAAAUACUGGACCGAUGACGUGAUAAAAGCAAUGAUGUACCUAUUUUCCUCUCUCUUUGCUACACUGUACAUUGAGUUACUCAUUAUGUGCAUUUUGUGUCCUGUUGGGUUUAAAAUGCUCCAAGUUGUGACAUUCAGGUGCAAGGUCGAGAUCACUAAUGUUCAGACUAAGAGGCGUUAAAUAGUUUUAAAGACCGAUUCAGAGAUUCGUAACUGAUAGCUAAUAAACGAUACUUCUUGUCACACCCCACCUUAGGCGGAAUCGUAGGAUAU
Molecule: long non-coding RNA, 1578 nt
Organism: Erigeron canadensis
Lineage: Eukaryota; Viridiplantae; Streptophyta; Magnoliopsida; Asterales; Asteraceae
Exons: 5
Source: RefSeq, a predicted model, not a curated record